This 413-nucleotide transfer RNA is filed under the name Raphidiopsis curvata CHAB341. RNAcentral's name for it is "partial 16S-23S ribosomal RNA intergenic spacer". The stretch from base 201 to 273 matches the Rfam family "tRNA". The record is from RNAcentral. Lineage: Bacteria; Bacillati; Cyanobacteriota; Cyanophyceae; Nostocales; Aphanizomenonaceae.
UAGGGAGACCUACCCAUUGAAGAAUCGAAAGCCGCAGGCGAAUAGAGAAUCAACUGGUCUACUCUAGGUCGGUGACGUGAGAUUGUGAAGUCUUUCAAACUAAUAUUUGGUUCGCGAGAGGGCUAUUAGCUCAGGUGGUUAGAGCGCACCCCUGAUAAGGGUGAGGUCCCUGGUUCGAGUCCAGGAUGGCCCACCUGAAUGGGGGUUUAGCUCAGCUGGUAGAGCGCCUGCUUUGCAAGCAGGAUGUCAGCGGUUCGAGUCCGCUAACCUCCACAUUAAGGAGAAACUAGCAACUAGGGAAGACCUAGACUGCUGGUGGAAACCAGCCAGAACCUUGAAAACUGCAUAUAGAUAGAUAAGAGAGCAGAAACUGAAAUCGAAAGAUAGAAGUGGAAGUAAGUGAAGAAUCAAGU